This 280-nucleotide ribosomal RNA is filed under the name uncultured Thalassovita sp. Its description in RNAcentral is "uncultured Thalassobius sp. partial 16S ribosomal RNA". It matches the Rfam family "Bacterial small subunit ribosomal RNA", at positions 29 to 334 of the family's 1533-position model. The record is from RNAcentral. Lineage: Bacteria; Pseudomonadati; Pseudomonadota; Alphaproteobacteria; Rhodobacterales; Roseobacteraceae.
AACGAACGCUGGCGGCAGGCCUAACACAUGCAAGUCGAGCGCAGUCCUUCGGGACCGAGCGGCGGACGGGUUAGUAACGCGUGGGAAUAUACCCAGUACUAAGGAAUAGCCUCUGGAAACGGAGAGUAAUACCUUAUACGCCCUUCGGGGGAAAGGUUUAUCGGUAUUGGAUUAGCCCGCGUUAGAUUAGAUAGUUGGUGGGGUAACGGCCUACCAAGUCGACGAUCUAUAGCUGGUUUGAGAGGAUGAUCAGCAACACUGGGACUGAGACACGGCCCAG